RNAcentral lists this ribosomal RNA (204 nucleotides) under uncultured bacterium. RNAcentral describes it as "partial 16S ribosomal RNA". It matches the Rfam family "Bacterial small subunit ribosomal RNA", at positions 568 to 774 of the family's 1533-position model. The record is from RNAcentral.
UGCGUAGGCGGUUGGACAAGUCUGAUGUGAAAUCCCGCAGCUUAACUGCGGAACGGCAUUGGAAACUGUCCGACUAGAGGAAUGGAGGGGAGACUGGAAUACUUGGUGUAGCAGUGAAAUGCGUAGAUAUCAAGUGGAACACCAGUGGCGAAGGCGAGUCUCUGGACAUUUCCUGACGCUGAGGCAAAGCCAGGGGAGCAAACG